Pipra filicauda (Wire-tailed manakin) is the source of this 754-nucleotide long non-coding RNA. RefSeq lists it as uncharacterized. The transcript is spliced from 2 exons. Lineage: Eukaryota; Metazoa; Chordata; Aves; Passeriformes; Pipridae. The record is from RefSeq and is a predicted model, not a curated record.
CAGUAAUGGAUAUUGCCAGAGGAGUAUCAUGAAAGCACAGUCUCCAUUCAAGCUCUGCUAUCCUGCAACCAUCAACAUAUCCAUAAUUGCAUGAGUCAAGAACUGGGCCAACGUUGCAGAGCUAUGCAGCAUCAGUUGGAGUGUUCAGACAUUGCCUUUUGCUGGUGUGAUGUCCAGUUUAUGGAUUAGCAUUUAAAGAGAAGACACUGAUUCCUUUUGUCACACAGCUCAAAGUUCCUAGUGCAACCGAAGCAGUGCGGAAAAGUUGCCAGGCCAUUACUUGUCUCCUGAUACUUCAGUUUUGCAGCAUGAGGCACAGGAAAGGUUGUUUGACCUGUCUUUCAAAGCUGGCCACACAUGUUGUUUAAGCUGCAGAAAGGCAAGUAGCAGUGGUACAUCCCUUCAGCCUGCACAGGAAUCACAGAUACAAUACAGUACAAGAUACAGCUUAUGCAGCCUAACAGCAACCACAGUCAACCAGUGCUCCAGGCAUCAGACUAACUUUACCAGCAGUGAAUUUGUGGAUUUACCACCAAGCACCUCUUCCUGUGCAGAACUGUAAAUCAGUCAAAUACCUCAACUCUGCGUCUGCAUCAGCUUCUUGCAUACUGGGUGAAAGAACCCAUUUCAGGACACCAGUAUGGAAUGCUUGUAUGGCAUCAUAUGGUGAAACAGUUGUAAGAAAUAAGGCCUGAUUCUCUCUGAUAAUUAAAUAAAAUAACACAUUUGUUUAUUUCCUCAUCAAAUAAGUGGA